GUGGGGAAUAUUGGACAAUGGGGGGAACCCUGAUCCAGCCAUGCCGCGUGUGUGAAGAAGGCCUUUUGGUUGUAAAGCACUUUAAGCGAGGAGGAGGCUACCGAGAUUAAUACUCUUGGAUAGUGGACGUUACUCGCAGAAUAAGCACCGGCUAACUCUGUGCCAGCAGCCGCGGUAAUACAGCGGGUGCGAGCGUUAAUCGGAUUUACUGGGCGUAAAGCGUGCGUAGGCGGCUUUUUAAGUCGGAUGUGAAUUCACCGUGCUUAACUUGGGAAUUGCAUUCGAUACUGGGAAGCUAGAGUAUGGGAGAGGAUGGUAGAAUUCCAGGUGUAGCGGUGAAAUGCGUAGAGAUCUGGAGGAAGACCGAUGGCGAAGGCAGCCAUCUGGCCUAAUACUGACGCUGAGGUACGAAAGCAUGGGGAGCAAACAGGAUUAGAUACCCUGGUAGUCC
RNAcentral lists this ribosomal RNA (451 nucleotides) under uncultured bacterium. Its description in RNAcentral is "partial 16S ribosomal RNA". It matches the Rfam family "Bacterial small subunit ribosomal RNA", at positions 354 to 796 of the family's 1533-position model. The record is from RNAcentral.